GCAGGUGUAGUACAAUGGUUAGUAUAUGGCCUUGCCAAGGCUAGGAUGCCGGUUCGAUCCCGGUCACUUGCUCCA
RNAcentral lists this transfer RNA (75 nucleotides) under bacterium. Its description in RNAcentral is "tRNA-Gly". It matches the Rfam family "tRNA". Rfam says of the family: Transfer RNA (tRNA) molecules are approximately 80 nucleotides in length. Their secondary structure includes four short double-helical elements and three loops (D, anti-codon, and T loops). RNAcentral also lists the same sequence under 2 other names. The record is from RNAcentral.